GAUGAACGCUGGCGGCGUGCCUAACACAUGCAAGUCGAGCGGCAGCGAGGGGUGCUUGCACCCUGUCGGCGAGCGGCGGACGGCUGAGUAACGCGUGGGAACGUGCCCCAAAGUGAGGAAUAACUGCCCGAAAGGGUAGCUAAUACCGCAUAUUAUCUUCGGAUCAAAGGAUUUAUCCGCUUUGGGAGCGGCUCGCGUCGGAUUAGGUAGUUGGUGAGGUAAUGGCUCACCAAGCCGACGAUCCGUAGCUGGUCUGAGAGGAUGACCAGCCAGACUGGAACUGAGACACGGUCCAGACUCCUACGGGAGGCAGCAGUGAGGAAUCUUCCACGAUGGGCGAAAGCCUGAUGGAGCAACGCCGCGUGCAGGACGAAGGCCUUCGGGUUGUAAACUGCUUUUAUAAGUGAGGAAUAUGACGGUAACUUAUGAAUAAGGAUCGGCUAACUACGUG
This 451-nucleotide ribosomal RNA is filed under the name uncultured bacterium. Its description in RNAcentral is "partial 16S ribosomal RNA". It matches the Rfam family "Bacterial small subunit ribosomal RNA", at positions 28 to 507 of the family's 1533-position model. The record is from RNAcentral.